Non-coding RNA from Caenorhabditis elegans, 146 nucleotides. The record is from Ensembl. NCBI's taxonomy places the organism in Eukaryota, Metazoa, Nematoda, Chromadorea, Rhabditida, Rhabditidae.
AUUUUAAAAUUGAGUUUUUGGAAAGAAAAGUAUAAUGCAUAAAUUUGUAACUAAAAAACCUAACUUAGCAAAGAAGUACCUACAUGUUCAUCACUUACAAGAUUUUUCUCCGAUUGCAGAAAAUUUUCAAAAAUCCACGAACACAU